RNAcentral lists this transfer RNA (88 nucleotides) under Clostridiales bacterium. RNAcentral describes it as "tRNA-Ser". It matches the Rfam family "tRNA". Rfam says of the family: Transfer RNA (tRNA) molecules are approximately 80 nucleotides in length. Their secondary structure includes four short double-helical elements and three loops (D, anti-codon, and T loops). Lineage: Bacteria; Bacillati; Bacillota; Clostridia; Eubacteriales. The record is from RNAcentral.
GGAGAAGUAUCGAAGAGGUCAUAACGAGCCCGACUCGAAAUCGGGUAGUCCCGUAAGGGGCACGUGGGUUCGAAUCCCACCUUCUCCG